This 355-nucleotide unclassified non-coding RNA is filed under the name soil metagenome. Its description in RNAcentral is "partial contains 5.8S ribosomal RNA, internal transcribed spacer 2, and large subunit ribosomal RNA". The stretch from base 1 to 120 matches the Rfam family "5.8S ribosomal RNA", at positions 35 to 154 of the family's 154-position model. The record is from RNAcentral.
GAUGAAGAACGCAUCGAAAUGCGAUAAGUAAUGUGAAUUGCAGAAUUCAGUGAAUCAUCGAAUCUUUGAACGCACAUUGCGCCCAUUAGUAUUCUAGUGGGCAUGCCUGUUCGAGCGUCAUUAAGUCCACUUAAGCCCUGCUUAGUGUUGGGAGACUGCUCCAGCGGUGCUACCCUGUAGCUACCCUGCAGCUCCUCAAAGACAGCGGCGGAGUUGUGGUAUCCUCUGAGCUUAGUAACUUGUUCUAGCUUUCGAGUACACCACUUCCCCUGCCGUAAAACCCUUAAUUUUUAAUGGUUGACCUCGGAUCAGGUAGGAAUACCCGCUGAACUUAAGCAUAUCAAUAAGCGGAGGA